UGUCCCCAACCGUAAUGAAGGAUUUGAAUAUCAAGGAUUUGAAUCUGUUUCUAAGGGGAGAGAGGAAUACUAGAGCAUUAGAGAUUUGGAGAAAAACUUUAUUGAUGUUUGAUUCGUUGUUAGUUCAUGUCUCUCUUGAAAGUGUCAAGCUGAAGAAAAAGAAGAAACACAAGAGAACAGAAAGGCCCAGAUGGUAGCAAAACUGCAUGGAAUACUGAGACCAUUUCUACUUCGGAGAAUGAAAUCUGAUGUCGAGCUAAUGCUCCCUCGGAAGAAAGAAAUCAUAAUAUAUUGGUUAUGAUUGAAGGAAGUUCACUCUGGAAAAUUAAUAGUCUUCAACACCAUUGUUGUCCUCCUAUUUCAAGGUUAGUUUUAUGCCUAAUAUCCCCGUACAAUCAAGUGUGUGAAGUGUUGAAGAGAGAGCUUGGCAUGACACCGGAUAAGUUGCUGGAUGAGCUGAAGAAGAAGAAUCUUGAUAAUGAAGUCCAUCUCAACAACGUAUAUUACAUCUCUUAAUCUCUCAAACCCUCCAAAAUUUGUAGACAAAUAAAAUUGUGUUGCCUUUACACGGAAGAUUUUGUUGCC
Molecule: long non-coding RNA, 585 nt
Organism: Benincasa hispida (wax gourd)
Lineage: Eukaryota; Viridiplantae; Streptophyta; Magnoliopsida; Cucurbitales; Cucurbitaceae
Source: RefSeq, a predicted model, not a curated record